This 232-nucleotide ribosomal RNA is filed under the name uncultured Staphylococcus sp. Its description in RNAcentral is "partial 16S ribosomal RNA". It matches the Rfam family "Bacterial small subunit ribosomal RNA", at positions 108 to 334 of the family's 1533-position model. The record is from RNAcentral. Lineage: Bacteria; Bacillati; Bacillota; Bacilli; Caryophanales; Staphylococcaceae.
GAGUAACACGUGGAUAACCUACCUAUAAGACUGGGAUAACUUCGGGAAACCGGAGCUAAUACCGGAUAAUAUAUUGAACCGCAUGGUUCAAUAGUGAAAGACGGUUUUGCUGUCACUUAUAGAUGGAUCCGCGCCGCAUUAGCUAGUUGGUAAGGUAACGGCUUACCAAGGCAACGAUGCGUAGCCGACCUGAGAGGGUGAUCGGCCACACUGGAACUGAGACACGGUCCAG